This is a long non-coding RNA of Dermochelys coriacea (leatherback sea turtle), 216 nucleotides long. RefSeq lists it as uncharacterized. Lineage: Eukaryota; Metazoa; Chordata; Testudines; Dermochelyidae. The transcript is spliced from 3 exons. The record is from RefSeq and is a predicted model, not a curated record.
CAGGCACUUUAAAGGCCCAGUGUGCAAUUUCAACAGUUAUUCAACCUCAGAUCUUCCAAGAGACCCUGACUGGAAGCCAGACUCCUAGUCCAGAGCUGAGAUGAAAGGAGCCACAAACUGUGCCAGAUGUAGAGGCAGAUCCCCUCACCCUGCCUUCUGUAUGUGUUUCAAGGAUCACAAAAUCUUCUCCUUCCCAGGGCUAGUGAAGAUUAGAAG